GGGUUGUGAGGUUAAGCGACUAAGCGUACACGGUGGAUGCCCUGGCAGUCAGAGGCGAUGAAGGACGUGCUAAUCUGCGAAAAGCGUCGGUAAGGUGAUAUGAACCGUUACAGCCGGCGAUGUCCGAAUGGGGAAACCCAGUGCAAUUCGUUGCACUAUCGUUAACUGAAUACAUAGGUUAACGAGGCGAACCGGGGGAACUGAAACAUCUAAGUACCCCGAGGAAAAGAAAUCAACCGAGAUUCCCCCAGUAGCGGCGAGCGAACGGGGAGCAGCCCAGAGUCUGAAUCAGCUUGUGUGUUAGUGGAACGGUCUGGAAAGUCCGACGGUACAGGGUGAUAGUCCCGUACACCAAAAUGCACAGGUUGUGAACUCGAAGAGUAGGGCGGGACACGUGGUAUCCUGUCUGAAUAUGGGGGGACCAUCCUCCAAGGCUAAAUACUCCUGACUGACCGAUAGUGAACCAGUACCGUGAGGGAAAGGCGAAAAGAACCCCGGCGAGGGGAGUGAAAAAGAACCUGAAACCGUGUACGUACAAGCAGUGGGAGCACCUUCGGGUGUGACUGCGUACCUUUUGUAUAAUGGGUCAGCGACUUAUAUUCUGUAGCAAGGUUAACCGUAUAGGGGAGCCGCAGGGAAACCGAGUCUUAACUGGGCGUUAAGUUGCAGGGUAUAGACCCGAAACCCGGUGAUCUAGCCAUGGGCAGGUUGAAGGUUGGGUAACACUAACUGGAGGACCGAACCGACUAAUGUUGAAAAAUUAGCGGAUGACUUGUGGCUGGGGGUGAAAGGCCAAUCAAACCGGGAGAUAGCUGGUUCUCCCCGAAAGCUAUUUAGGUAGCGCCUCGUGAAUUCAUCUUCGGGGGUAGAGCACUGUUUCGGCUAGGGGGUCAUCCCGACUUACCAACCCGAUGCAAACUACGAAUACCGAAGAAUGUUAUCACGGGAGACACACGGCGGGUGCUAACGUCCGUCGUGAAGAGGGAAACAACCCAGACCGCCAGCUAAGGUCCCAAAGUCAUGGUUAAGUGGGAAACGAUGUGGGAAGGCACAGACAGCCAGGAUGUUGGCUUAGAAGCAGCCAUCAUUUAAAGAAAGCGUAAUAGCUCACUGGUCGAGUCGGCCUGCGCGGAAGAUGUAACGGGGCUAAACCAUGCACCGAAGCUGCGGCAGCGACGCUUAUGCGUUGUUGGGUAGGGGAGCGUUCUGUAAGCCUGCGAAGGUGGCCUGUGAGGGCUGCUGGAGGUAUCAGAAGUGCGAAUGCUGACAUAAGUAACGAUAAAGCGGGUGAAAAGCCCGCUCGCCGGAAGACCAAGGGUUCCUGUCCAACGUUAAUCGGGGCAGGGUGAGUCGACCCCUAAGGCGAGGCCGAAAGGCGUAGUCGAUGGGAAACAGGUUAAUAUUCCUGUACUUGGUGUUACUGCGAAGGGGGGACGGAGAAGGCUAUGUUAGCCGGGCGACGGUUGUCCCGGUUUAAGCAUGUAGGCGGAGGUUCCAGGUAAAUCCGGUACCUUUUAACGCUGAGGUGUGAUGACGAGGCACUACGGUGCUGAAGUAACAAAUGCCCUGCUUCCAGGAAAAGCCUCUAAGCAUCAGGUAACAUUAAAUCGUACCCCAAACCGACACAGGUGGUCAGGUAGAGAAUACCAAGGCGCUUGAGAGAACUCGGGUGAAGGAACUAGGCAAAAUGGUGCCGUAACUUCGGGAGAAGGCACGCUGGUGUGUAGGUGAAGUCCCUGCGGACGGAGCUGAGACCAGUCGAAGAUACCAGCUGGCUGCAACUGUUUAUUAAAAACACAGCACUGUGCAAACACGAAAGUGGACGUAUACGGUGUGACGCCUGCCCGGUGCCGGAAGGUUAAUUGAUGGGGUUAUCCGUAAGGAGAAGCUCUUGAUCGAAGCCCCGGUAAACGGCGGCCGUAACUAUAACGGUCCUAAGGUAGCGAAAUUCCUUGUCGGGUAAGUUCCGACCUGCACGAAUGGCGUAAUGAUGGCCAGGCUGUCUCCACCCGAGACUCAGUGAAAUUGAACUCGCUGUGAAGAUGCAGUGUACCCGCGGCAAGACGGAAAGACCCCGUGAACCUUUACUAUAGCUUGACACUGAACAUUGAGCCUUGAUGUGUAGGAUAGGUGGGAGGCUUUGAAGCGUGGACGCCAGUCUGCGUGGAGCCAACCUUGAAAUACCACCCUUUAAUGUUUGAUGUUCUAACGUUGGCCCGUAAUCCGGGUUGCGGACAGUGUCUGGUGGGUAGUUUGACUGGGGCGGUCUCCUCCCAAAGAGUAACGGAGGAGCACGAAGGUUAGCUAAUCCUGGUCGGACAUCAGGAGGUUAGUGCAAUGGCAUAAGCUAGCUUGACUGCGAGCGUGACGGCGCGAGCAGGUGCGAAAGCAGGUCAUAGUGAUCCGGUGGUUCUGAAUGGAAGGGCCAUCGCUCAACGGAUAAAAGGUACUCCGGGGAUAACAGGCUGAUACCGCCCAAGAGUUCAUAUCGACGGCGGUGUUUGGCACCUCGAUGUCGGCUCAUCACAUCCUGGGGCUGAAGUAGGUCCCAAGGGUAUGGCUGUUCGCCAUUUAAAGUGGUACGCGAGCUGGGUUUAGAACGUCGUGAGACAGUUCGGUCCCUAUCUGCCGUGGGCGCUGGAGAAUUGAGGGGGGCUGCUCCUAGUACGAGAGGACCGGAGUGGACGCAUCACUGGUGUUCGGGUUGUCAUGCCAAUGGCACUGCCCGGUAGCUAAAUGCGGAAGAGAUAAGUGCUGAAAGCAUCUAAGCACGAAACUUGCCCCGAGAUGAGUUCUCCCUGAGACUUUAAGUCUCCUGAAGGAACGUUGAAGACGACGACGUUGAUAGGCCGGGUGUGUAAGCGCAGCGAUGCGUUGAGCUAACCGGUACUAAUGAACCGUGAGGCUUAACCUUACAACGCCGAAG
Molecule: ribosomal RNA, 2926 nt
Filed under: Klebsiella variicola
Lineage: Bacteria; Pseudomonadati; Pseudomonadota; Gammaproteobacteria; Enterobacterales; Enterobacteriaceae
Description: bacterial LSU rRNA
Rfam family: Bacterial large subunit ribosomal RNA
Source: RNAcentral